UUUCAUAUUAGAGUUUUCGUCUUUUCUGGAUAUAUGGCCAGGAGUGAGAUUGCUGUGUAAGUUGCUAGUGUCAUGGUGGGGGUAUUUUGAGUGGCCAUAGUUUAUCAAAGUAAGAAGCAGAAUUUAGGGAAGAAAGUAAGCUGAGGACUUACUAAGGCUGACAAAGUCUAUAUUUUCUCUCAGUCACAAACCUGGAUAAAUAAUAAAAUGUUAGGUUGAUAAGUAACAAUAAUUUCUUCUUUAAAAGUCCUUGUAUUAAUUACUUGUCUAGUAACUGAAGCACAAUUUUGACAACCUUUGGCAAUUCACCUUUGGAAUGCAUUUUCUGUCUGCUUUGGUCCUUGGAAGUAGCAGAGGACUUGAAUUUAUGACCUUCCUCACUGUGCUUUACCGAAUGAGUCAUUCCUGGUGGGGCGGGGGUGGGGUGGGGGUUUGGGGGGUUGCUCAUGCCAGUUGUCUUCAUUAAAUCUGGAGAAAGUCACCAUCUCCAUGGCUCUGGGGAUUAGAUUCUGCCAUAGUGAGGAAGGAACAGUCUCAGAUCUUGGCUGACCUGAUUCUGCUGAUGACUCAGCUCCGAAGGGCACCUCAUUCCGGAAAGUGAAUCAAGUAAUGACGGGACCUGGAAUUAUUCUGACGUGUCCUUCUACUUCAGAUGAGGACCCUGACCUGGGAUCUCAAGACCCAGGUGACUUCAGGAUGGAGGAUGGAGCCGCUGGAUGUGUCUUCCCCUAUUCAGAUGUUUGAAUAAAGCUUUUUACUUGUCUUCCUCUCCUAGAAAAACAAUUGAAUAUUUUGCCACUUAUAUUUUUCUAAUAUUGUACUUGAGUCAUGCUGCCUUAAUCAUAGUUUAACAAGUUGUUAGAAAUUGUUUUAAACAGGACAAAGUAAAUCCAACUCCAUAUAGAUUGUCUUUCAUUUGCAAAUAUUAGAAUUUGAGUUAAAAAUCAUAUAACUUGAAGCCGUCUACAUAAAAUGAAGUUGUUGGUAUAUUAAAAGUGUCCUUCUUUUCAAGUAUAUUUUAUUUUAGUGUAUUUUAUAAAAACUCCAUAGUCAGUGACUCGAAAGUAACCAUGAAUGUAUUUUUCGUUCCUUAUAUUUUACUGGAAAAAAGUGGUUAAAGUAAUUGUAUAGAUUUUUACCUUAUUCUUUGGUGUCCUGUGUAACUAAUUAUUUGCUUUAGGUACAAAUGACCUACUUGCUAAAGACUGUUCAUUUUCUGCUGGAAUAAAAUACCUUUUCAAUUUA
Molecule: long non-coding RNA, 1245 nt
Organism: Aethalodelphis obliquidens (Pacific white-sided dolphin)
Lineage: Eukaryota; Metazoa; Chordata; Mammalia; Artiodactyla; Delphinidae
Exons: 3
Source: RefSeq, a predicted model, not a curated record